CGCGCUGUCGUGCUGCCGGGCUAGCUGCUUGGCCGGUCGCAUGCGACUAGGUCUUGUUGGUUGGUCUUGGUGGUGCGGCAGUGCCCUGGUCGACCCUCGGUGUAAAAGUUGGUCAUCUCUCCGACCCGUCUUGAAACACGGACCAAGGAGUCUAGCGUAUGCGCGAGUCAUUGGGUGGAAAACCCAUAGGCGAAAUGAAAGUGAAGGUCUCUUCAUGAGGCUGAUAUGCGAUCCGUUGCACUACGGUGUACGCGGAGCAGCAUAGCCCCGUCUCGACUGCUUGCAGUGGGGCGGAGGUAGAGCGUAUACGCUGGUACCCGAAAGAUGGUGAACUAUGCCUGAGCAGGAUGAAGCCAGAGGAAACUCUGGUGGAGGUCCGAAGCGCUUCUGACGUGCAAAUCGAUCGUCUGACUUGGGUAUAGGGGCGAAAGACUAAUCGAACCAUCUAGUAGCUGGUUCCUUCCGA
Molecule: ribosomal RNA, 466 nt
Filed under: Acrobeloides sp. XX3-7-8(6)
Lineage: Eukaryota; Metazoa; Nematoda; Chromadorea; Rhabditida; Cephalobidae
Description: partial large subunit ribosomal RNA
Rfam family: Eukaryotic large subunit ribosomal RNA
Source: RNAcentral